GAUGAACGCUGGCGGCGUGCCUAAUACAUGCAAGUCGAGCGAACAGACGAGGAGCUUGCUCCUCUGACGUUAGCGGCGGACGGGUGAGUAACACGUGGAUAACCUACCUAUAAGACUGGGAUAACUUCGGGAAACCGGAGCUAAUACCGGAUAAUAUAUUGAACCGCAUGGUUCAAUGGUGAAAGACGGUUUUGCUGUCACUUAUAGAUGGAUCCGCGCCGCAUUAGCUAGUUGGUAAGGUAACGGCUUACCAAGGCAACGAUGCGUAGCCGACCUGAGAGGGUGAUCGGCCACACUGGAACUGAGACACGGUCCAGACUCCUACGGGAGGCAGCAGUAGGGAAUCUUCCGCAAAGGGCGAAAGCCUGACGGAGCAACGCCGCGUGAGUGAUGAAGGUCUUCGGAUCGUAAAACUCUGUUAUUAGGGAAGAACAAAUGUGUAAGUAACUAUGCACGUCUUGACGGUACCUAAUCAGAAAGCCACGGCUAACUACGUG
RNAcentral lists this ribosomal RNA (497 nucleotides) under uncultured bacterium. RNAcentral's name for it is "partial 16S ribosomal RNA". It matches the Rfam family "Bacterial small subunit ribosomal RNA", at positions 28 to 507 of the family's 1533-position model. The record is from RNAcentral.